This 752-nucleotide long non-coding RNA is filed under the name Nicotiana benthamiana. RNAcentral's name for it is "long non-coding RNA (NBEN_LNC026058)". Lineage: Eukaryota; Viridiplantae; Streptophyta; Magnoliopsida; Solanales; Solanaceae. The record is from RNAcentral.
UAGAUAACAUGGGAGCAUAAUGAUAAAAGGCUAAAGGAUAUAUGCAAGCUGUAAAGAAAAGGUUUUGACCUAAAAAAGGCAAAAAGGAGCAAAACUUGUUCUUCAAAUAGAGGAGGAGGGGCUUAAGCUUUAACAUACUGAAAUACAUGAGAGAGUCCUGGAGAGUUAAAAUCCCGAUUUCUUCAUUGACUUCAUUUCCUGAUCCAAACACACUAACACUGAUCAUAAGUAACUCUAGCGCAUCUUUCGAAUUCAUUUGACUUGUGUUGGUAGCGUUGUGAGCCAAUAUGUGUUUUCUGUUUGGUUCAUUGAUUCAUUUUGGAGUUUGAACUUGUUGUUUUAAGUUUUGGUUUCUGCUAUUUUUUUAGGUCGUUUGAAUCCUUCCUGGGGUUUAAGAAUAGUGGUGUUUUGUUGGUUGUUGCUAUGUUGUUGUUACUAAUGCUGCUGAUUCUCAUCUUCCUCUUCUCUUGUCUCCAAUACCAAGUACACAACUGAGCUCAAUUUGAUGUAUCCUUGAGAUGUAAACAUGAAAUGAAAAUGCUCAGGAACUUAAUUAUUGGAUGUUGUUUAAUCGUUGAAUUUUAGAUUUGUAUUUAUAUUAAUACUAUUUUGAUUUGGCAUGAUAAAUGGAAGCUUUGUUUGGAAGUUUCUAAUAAAUUGUGAAGGGAUUAGCUAGAAUCUAUGUGAUCCUUAUUUGAUAUCUUGGAUUAGCAUGUUAAAAUAUUAAUUUUAAAGUGGGGACAGUACUUUGC